RNAcentral lists this microRNA precursor (151 nucleotides) under Prunus dulcis (almond). RNAcentral describes it as "sRNA ncRNA". The record is from RNAcentral. Lineage: Eukaryota; Viridiplantae; Streptophyta; Magnoliopsida; Rosales; Rosaceae.
AAAUGAAAAUAAAAGUGAUAAUGGAAGGAAGGGGUAACAAAAAUGAAAAUAAAAAGUGAAAAUGAUAAUAAUUUCAAAUAGAUUUUAGUUUUUAGUUUUUGUUUUCACUUUUGUUACUCCUCCCUCCCAUUUUCUCAUCUCGUCUUCUCUC